Molecule: ribosomal RNA, 254 nt
Filed under: uncultured bacterium
Lineage: Bacteria
Description: partial 16S ribosomal RNA
Rfam family: Bacterial small subunit ribosomal RNA
Source: RNAcentral
UACGAAGGGGGCUAGCGUUGUUCGGAAUCACUGGGCGUAAAGCGCACGUAGGCGGAUCGAUCAGUCAGGGGGUGAAAUCCCAGAGCUCAACUCUGGAACUGCCUUUGAUACUGUCGAUCUAGAGUAUGGAAGAGGUGAGUGGAAUUCCGAGUGUAGAGGUGAAAUUCGUAGAUAUUCGGAGGAACACCAGUGGCGAAGGCGGCUCACUGGUCCAUUACUGACGCUGAGGUGCGAAAGCGUGGGGAGCAAACAGG